RNAcentral lists this ribosomal RNA (654 nucleotides) under Odontonia sibogae. RNAcentral describes it as "SSU rRNA". It matches the Rfam family "Eukaryotic small subunit ribosomal RNA", at positions 1176 to 1804 of the family's 1831-position model. The record is from RNAcentral. Lineage: Eukaryota; Metazoa; Arthropoda; Malacostraca; Decapoda; Palaemonidae.
GUGGAGCCUGCGGCUUAAUUUGACUCAACACGGGAAACCUCACCAGGCCCGGACACCAGAAGGAUUGACAGAUUAAGAGCUCUUUCUCGAUUUGGUGGGUGGUGGUGCAUGGCCGUUCUUAGUUGGUGGAGUGAUUUGUCUGGUUAAUUCCGGUAACGAACGAGACUCUGGCCUACUAAAUAGUCGACGGGUGUUUUGGUGCAUGGGCCCCGUUCGACACAGUCUUCUUAGAGGGAUGAGCAGCGAGUAUAGCUGCAGGAGAUUGAGCAAUAACAGGUCUGUGAUGCCCUUAGAUGUCCUGGGCCGCACGCGCGCUACACUGAAUGGGUUAGCGGGUUUUCCUUCUCCGAAAGGAGCGGGAAAUCGCGUGAAAACCAUUCGUGAUAGGGAUUGGGGCUUGCAAUUGUUUCCCAUGAACGAGGAAUUCCCAGUAAGCGCAAGUCAUCAGCUUGCGUUGAUUAAGUCCCUGCCCUUUGUACACACCGCCCGUCGCUACUACCGAUUGAAUGAUUUAGUGAGGCCUUCGGACUGGCGGUCUUGGACUGGGGCGUCGGCUUUCUCCCAGCAAUGGGGUGCUGGCGACUCGCCUCGACGGGCCGGAAAGAUGUCCAAACUUGAUCAUUUAGAGGAAGUAAAAGUCGUAACAAGGUUUCC